AUCGUUCAUCCUCUUAGAGGACGGAAGUAGGUAAUGAUACCGAAGGAACGCAUC
This 54-nucleotide non-coding RNA is filed under the name unclassified sequences. The record is from Rfam.